RNAcentral lists this unclassified non-coding RNA (240 nucleotides) under soil metagenome. RNAcentral describes it as "partial contains 5.8S ribosomal RNA, internal transcribed spacer 2, and large subunit ribosomal RNA". The record is from RNAcentral.
AACCAUAGAAACCUGCGGAGUACCUGCGAAGGAUCAUUACAGAGUUGCAAAACUCCCUAAACCAUUGUGAACGUUACCUAAACCGUUGCUUCGGCGGGCGGCCCGGGUCCUUCCCGGCGCCCAUCGGCCCUCGCGGGCGCCCGCCGGAGGUAAACCAAACUAUUGCAUUGUAUGGCCUCUCUGAGUCUUCUGUACUGAAUAAGUCAAAACUUUCAACAACGGAUCUCAGAUCGGAAGAGC